This 397-nucleotide ribosomal RNA is filed under the name uncultured bacterium. RNAcentral describes it as "partial 16S ribosomal RNA". It matches the Rfam family "Bacterial small subunit ribosomal RNA", at positions 523 to 918 of the family's 1533-position model. The record is from RNAcentral.
AUACGUAGGUGACAAGCGUUAUCCGGAUUUACUGGGCGUAAAGGGCGUGUAGGCGGUCUUGCAAGUCAGAAGUGAAAUUCCUGAGCUCAACUCGGGCGCUGCUUCUGAAACUGCAGGACUUGAGUGCUGGAGGGGAUAGCGGAAUUCCUAGUGGAGCGGUAAAAUGCGCAGAUAUUAGGAAGAACACCGGUGGCGAAGGCGGCUAUCUGGACGGUAACUGACGCUGAGGCGCGAAAGCGUGGGGAGCAAACAGGAUUAGAUACCCUGGUAGUCCACGCAGUAAACGAUGAACACUGGCUGUCCGGCCCGAUCGGGGGCUGGGUGGCGUAGCGAAAGCGUUAAGUGUUCCACCUGGGGAGUACGCCGGCAACGGUGAAACUCAAAUGAAUUGGCGGGG